AUGGCCGACCCGCCGCCCCCGGACGCGCACCCGGAGCAAUCCCCCGCCACCGAGAAGCCCCCCGCGGCGCCUCUGACGCCCGAACCCGAGGAUGCGGCGGAGCAGGAUGUCGAGUCGGAGGUGGAUGAGGAGUACGUGAGCGACCCCGACGACGCUCUCCCGGAGAUGCGUCGCCGGGAGGCCAGCGACGACGAGGGGUCCGAGGAAGGUAGGCGGCCUCCCAGGGCGCGGAUCGACCCCGACCACGACGACGACGGCCAAGGUGCCCCGGAGGAUUACGAGGGCGAAGUGGAGGAGGAGGAGGACGAGGACGAGGAAUACUACGAUGAUUUGUUGGAUGAUGAGGAGGUGGGCGAGGGGCUCGAGGAGGAGUAUGAUGGCCACGCUGUGCCGCCCAAGGAGGUCGCCGCCGGCCAGGGGGAGGCGGACGAGAAGCCUGGGGAGGAGGGAGCUGAGGCUGAGGCUGACGGCGAAGAGAAGAAGGAGCAGGAGCCAUUCGCGGUGCCCACCUCCGGCGCGUUUUACAUGCAUGACGACCGGUUUCAGGAGGACGGCCGGGGCCGACGCAGGCGAAUGCUUGGUGGGAGGAAGUUAUGGGAUGCUAAAGACGAUCAAGCAUGGGUGCAUGACAGAUUCGAGGAGAUGAACGUGCAUGAGGAGCGCUAUGAAGAUAAGCGAAUGUCAAGAGGCCGUUUUAGAGGUCGUGGUAGUGGAGGUAGGACUAGAGGCACUGCCCAUGGAUUUUCAAGAGGAGGGAGGUACCACAGUUAUCACGAAGAUAGCGACAACCAAAAUCAUAGUGAAAACCAGAACCGGCCCCAAAAGAUUGUCCGCGGGAGAGGACCCAGACGUUAUGACACAAUUGCAAAGAACAACCGAGAUGUUGUCGGGUUCCAACGUAAACAACCAACAAGAUCUCGCGAACUGGUCGCUCAUUCUGCAGCGGCCAGAGAGCCUGGCCAAAUUUCAAAUGCACAUUCGGAAGCAGUUCCUGCUAAAAAGAAUGUUGUCAAUUCAAGCUUAAAUUCUGCGUCACCACCAUUUUAUCCCUCUGGUGCCUCAAACCAACUGGGAGCUCAAAGAAGGGACAUACAACCAGGAGGUUCAAAUAAGGUUCAUCCAUCUUCCAUGAAGAUGGAUGACAACAUGAAGCUACAAUCUGGUCCAGUAGUUAGAGGGAAAGGAACCACGGACUAUGGUGGACGCGAUAGGUUUCAUGCCGAGGGUCCUGUUAGACCAUCUCCUGCAAGAAGUGUAGGAGGAUCAUCAUACUCAUCAGGGUUUGCAUCAUCAUCAAUUAAUUCUGGUCAAUCCCCUAAUAACAGGGCUCAAGGGGGAAAUGCAAGCAUUGGUGUUCCUUCACAUAAUCGGCCCACACCAUCAUUUCAGCAAACUUCUAGAGUUUCUACGCAACAGCAAAAUCAUACCUCAAUUAUGCACCAGAAGUCAGGCCAAGCACCUAGUCAAGCUGCAAUGAGAAUCCCAACUCAGCAGGUGAGCCAUCGGACGGGCAAUGCUUCACCAAGUGCUCAGCACCUACCUGCUGGAUCAACUGAAAGUGACGAGAAUGGUUCAUAUCCUAGUUCAAAUCAAUCCAAGACAUCUGAGGUGGAAAAAACCAACAAAGAAACUGGACGGGGCUCCUUCAUGUAUGGUGGAGCCCAGGUUAUUGGGGCUGCUGGUCUUGCCCAGGGCGAGCAAAAUUUUCCUGGCACCCCAGCUCUCCUGCCAGUGAUGCAAUUUGGCGGCCAGCAUCCAGGUGGGCUUGGAGUUCCUACUGUUGGUAUGGCCCUCCCUGGCUAUGUGGCUCAGCAGCAGCUGGGAAGGGGAAAUAACGAAAUGGCGUGGUUACCACUAUUGGCUGGUGCAGCUGGGGCUUUUGGAGGAUCAUAUCCACCUUACAUUACCCUUGAUCCAAGCUUUUACUCUAGGUCUUCAGGACAGACGUCGUCGUCAGUUCCAUCCAGGGAAGGUAAUGUUAACCAUGGGGCUAAAUCUCCUCCCCAAAACGAUAUUGUGACUGAAGAGCUUGAUCAGCGCCAGAACAAGCAUAGGAGAUACUCAGAGAUGAACUUCAGUCAGUGA
This 2085-nucleotide ribosomal RNA is filed under the name Triticum aestivum (bread wheat). RNAcentral's name for it is "partial small subunit ribosomal RNA". Lineage: Eukaryota; Viridiplantae; Streptophyta; Magnoliopsida; Poales; Poaceae. The record is from RNAcentral.